GACGUAGGGUGCAAGCGUUGUCCGGAUUUACUGGGCGUAAAGAGCGCGUAGGCGGCUCGUUAAGUGUGAAGUGAAAUCUCCAGGGCUCAACCCGGAAACUGCUUCGCAUACUGACGAGCUGGAGGGAUGCAGAGGUGAGUGGAAUUCCUGGUGUACCGGUGAAAUGGGUAGAUAUCAGGAGGAACACCCAUGGCGAAGGCAGCUCACUGGGCAUCACCUGACGCUGAGGCGCGAAAGUGUGGGGAGCAAACAGGAUUAGAAACCCCUGUAGUCC
Molecule: ribosomal RNA, 274 nt
Filed under: uncultured bacterium
Lineage: Bacteria
Description: partial 16S ribosomal RNA
Rfam family: Bacterial small subunit ribosomal RNA
Source: RNAcentral